AAGAACGGAGACCGCCCAGGAGGCUGCGGCACUCCUGGGCUAAGUCCUGCCAGGGAGCUCCCCCGUUGGGUGACGGAGGAGGUGGGGCGAGGGCAGCGCGCAGAAAUAGGGCGCUGGGCGCCCGAGCGCAGCCAGCUUCCAGCACAGCCCGCGGCCCGGUGCCAGCUCCGCCGGCGACCGGUGUGCCAAAGUGCGGUGCUCCCGCAGGGAACCUGGCUCGGGGAGGGCCUCCAGGUGAGUGCCGGGCUCGGCGCUCUGCUCCUGGAGCUCCCGCGGGACUGCCUGGGGACAGGGACUGCUGUGGCGCUCGGCCCUCCACUGCGGACCUCUCCUGAGUGGGUGCGCCGAGUCAUGGAGGGCGCAGAGCUGGCCGGGAAGAUCCUUUCCACCUGGCUGACGCUGGUUCUCGGCUUCAUCCUUUUACCUUCGGUCUUCGGAGUGUCUCUGGGCAUCUCCGAGAUCUACAUGAAGAUCCUAGUGAAAACUUUAGAGUGGGCCACAAUACGAAUUGAAAAAGGAACCCCAAAGGAGUCGAUUCUUAAAAACUCUGCUUCUAUUGGUGAGUUUUCC
Molecule: small RNA, 570 nt
Filed under: Pan troglodytes (chimpanzee)
Lineage: Eukaryota; Metazoa; Chordata; Mammalia; Primates; Hominidae
Description: processed transcript
Source: RNAcentral